This 253-nucleotide ribosomal RNA is filed under the name uncultured bacterium. RNAcentral's name for it is "partial 16S ribosomal RNA". It matches the Rfam family "Bacterial small subunit ribosomal RNA", at positions 524 to 776 of the family's 1533-position model. The record is from RNAcentral.
UACGUAGGGUCCGAGCGUUGUCCGGAAUUACUGGGCGUAAAGAGCUCGUAGGUGGUUUGUCGCGUUGUUCGUGAAAACUCACAGCUCAACUGUGGGCGUGCGGGCGAUACGGGCAGACUGGAGUACUGCAGGGGAGACUGGAAUUCCUGGUGUAGCGGUGGAAUGCGCAGAUAUCGAGAGGAACACCUGCGGCGAAGGCGGGUUGCUGGGCUGAUACUGACGCUGAUGCGCGAAAGCCAGGGGAGCGAACGGG